Molecule: non-coding RNA, 72 nt
Organism: Dipodomys ordii (Ord's kangaroo rat)
Lineage: Eukaryota; Metazoa; Chordata; Mammalia; Rodentia; Heteromyidae
Source: Rfam
GUGAAUGUAGCUUAGUGGUAGAGUGCUUGCCUAGCACGCAUGAAGCCCUGGGUCCAAUUCCUCAGCACCACA